Molecule: non-coding RNA, 82 nt
Organism: Harpegnathos saltator (Jerdon's jumping ant)
Lineage: Eukaryota; Metazoa; Arthropoda; Insecta; Hymenoptera; Formicidae
Source: Rfam
GCAGUCGUGGCCGAGUGGUUAAGGCGUCUGACUAAAAAUCAGAUUCCCUCUGGGAGCUUAGGUUCGAGUCCUACCGACUGCG